AACGAACGCUGGCGGCAGGUCUAACACAUGCAAGUCGAGCGCCCCAGCGAUGGGGAGCGGCGGACGGGUGAGUAACGCGUGGGAACGUGCCUCUUGCUACGGAAUAGCCUCGGGAAACUGGGAGUAAUACCGUAUGUGCCCUACGGGGGAAAGAUUUAUCGGCAAGAGAUCGGCCCGCGUUGGAUUAGGUAGUUGGUGGGGUAAUGGCCUACCAAGCCGACGAUCCAUAGCUGGUUUGAGAGGAUGAUCAGCCACACUGGGACUGAGACACGGCCCAGACUCCUACGGGAGGCAGCAGUGGGGAAUCUUAGACAAUGGGCGCAAGCCUGAUCUAGCCAUGCCGCGUGAGCGAUGAAGGCCUUAGGGUUGUAAAGCUCUUUCAGUGGGGAAGAUAAUGACUGUACCCACAGAAGAAGCCCCGGCUAACUCCGUG
RNAcentral lists this ribosomal RNA (433 nucleotides) under uncultured bacterium. RNAcentral's name for it is "bacterial SSU rRNA". It matches the Rfam family "Bacterial small subunit ribosomal RNA", at positions 29 to 507 of the family's 1533-position model. The record is from RNAcentral.